GUGGCUAUAGCUCAGCUGGUUAGAGCAUCGGAUUGUGGUUCCGAGGGUCGUGGGUUCGAGUCCCAUUAGCCACC
RNAcentral lists this transfer RNA (74 nucleotides) under Saprospiraceae bacterium. RNAcentral describes it as "tRNA-His". It matches the Rfam family "tRNA". From Rfam's summary of the family: Transfer RNA (tRNA) molecules are approximately 80 nucleotides in length. Lineage: Bacteria; Pseudomonadati; Bacteroidota; Saprospiria; Saprospirales; Saprospiraceae. The record is from RNAcentral.